ACGUUAGAUUUGACAACUUCCAAAAACUACAACGAUGGCAUUAGUACCGAAGCAAUCACUAUAGCUGAUGUCCAACAUACUAUCACCCAUCAAAUCAUUUUGACUGCAGUGGUGUUCAUAAUUUUUCUCUUAGUAUUGGCUAUAGUGAUCAUCUAUAGAAUUAAAGAUGAUGAAGCAGAAAAUCCUUUAAAUCAAUAUGACACCAACAGUUUAGACAAUGUGAUUGCCUAUGACCCAGCUGUACUGGAUAAAUUCCUUGACACAU
This is a long non-coding RNA of Saccostrea cuccullata (small rock oyster), 265 nucleotides long. RefSeq lists it as uncharacterized. The transcript is spliced from 3 exons. The record is from RefSeq and is a predicted model, not a curated record. Lineage: Eukaryota; Metazoa; Mollusca; Bivalvia; Ostreida; Ostreidae.